This 69-nucleotide transfer RNA is filed under the name Aulostomus chinensis (Chinese trumpetfish). RNAcentral's name for it is "tRNA-Glu". It matches the Rfam family "tRNA". Rfam says of the family: Transfer RNA (tRNA) molecules are approximately 80 nucleotides in length. Their secondary structure includes four short double-helical elements and three loops (D, anti-codon, and T loops). Lineage: Eukaryota; Metazoa; Chordata; Actinopteri; Syngnathiformes; Aulostomidae. The record is from RNAcentral.
GUUCUUGUGGUUGAGUGACAACGAUAGUUUUUCAAGCUGUAGGUCCUGGUUGGAGUCCAGGUAAGAACA